AUUGAACGCUGGCGGAAUGCUUUACACAUGCAAGUCGAGCGGCAGCACGGGGGCAACCCUGGUGGCGAGCGGCGAACGGGUGAGUAAUACAUCGGAACAUGCCCAGUCGUGGGGGAUAACACUUCGAAAGAAGUGCUAAUACCGCAUACGUCCUGAGGGGGAAAGCGGGGGAUCGCAAGACCUCGCGCGAUUGGAGUGGCCGAUGUCAGAUUAGCUAGUUGGUGGGGUAAAGGCCUACCAAGGCAACGAUCUGUAGCUGGUCUGAUAGGAUGAUCAGCCACACUGGGACUGAGACACGGCCCAGACUCCUACGGGAGGCAGCAGUGGGGAAUUUUGGACAAUGGGGGCAACCCUGAUCCAGCCAUUCCGCGUGAGUGAAGAAGGCCUUCGGGUUGUAAAGCUCUUUCGGCAGGAACGAAACGGUGAGCUCUAACAUAGCUUGCUAAUGACGGUACCUGAAGAAGAAGCACCGGCUAACUACGUG
RNAcentral lists this ribosomal RNA (484 nucleotides) under uncultured bacterium. RNAcentral's name for it is "partial 16S ribosomal RNA". It matches the Rfam family "Bacterial small subunit ribosomal RNA", at positions 30 to 507 of the family's 1533-position model. The record is from RNAcentral.